This 561-nucleotide long non-coding RNA is filed under the name Homo sapiens (human). RNAcentral's name for it is "non-protein coding lnc-PPEF1-2:1". Lineage: Eukaryota; Metazoa; Chordata; Mammalia; Primates; Hominidae. The record is from RNAcentral.
AUUGCUCACCAUUCUCAAGCUUGAAAACCCACCUGCAAUCAUUUGGGCGGGGGGGGGGGGGCAUCUUUAAGCGCCCAGGUGAACUUGGUCUGCAGGCAGCAGCUGUCCUUUUCUCUGGAUCUUCUGCUGAGGUCGGUAGGUUGAUAAGUGAUACUGAUUUUGUGGCAGGAACUCCCUUCAGCCAACUCCUGUCUUCCUGGGAAGGCCUCUGGAAGAAACCAGUAUCAGAAAGAAUCUUGUAGUUGCCUGUGGCAGAAGAUCCGACCCAAACUGAGCAAAACCAGUUUCAAACGAAUCUGGUUUGAAACUUCCGAAGAAUCUACCUCUUGAAGAUUACAAAUGAGACUGGGAAACCCUCUUCAAUAAGACCUGUGUGAUGAUAGAUUGUGUCCUGAGCCCGCAGGUCAGGCUGAAAGAGUCAACAACCAGCAAAGUGAAGAUCUAGGAGUCUGUUCCCCUUGAACCUGUGUGGACCUGAUCAAACCUCGAGGGAAAGGCUGGGAGAACACAUCCCUGGUCAGCUGUAGGAAAGCCAGAGAGCAUUUGAGAAGAGGCUGAAGC